Molecule: ribosomal RNA, 131 nt
Filed under: Aequabiliella effusa
Lineage: Eukaryota; Fungi; Ascomycota; Eurotiomycetes; Phaeomoniellales; Phaeomoniellaceae
Description: partial small subunit ribosomal RNA
Rfam family: Eukaryotic small subunit ribosomal RNA
Source: RNAcentral
CCCUGCCCUUUGUACACACCGCCCGUCGCUACUACCGAUUGAAUGGCUCAGUGAGGCUUUGGGACUGGCUCAGGAAGGUCGGCAACGACCAUCCAGAGCCGGAAACUUAGUCAAACUUGGUCAUUUAGAGG